This 254-nucleotide ribosomal RNA is filed under the name uncultured bacterium. RNAcentral's name for it is "partial 16S ribosomal RNA". It matches the Rfam family "Bacterial small subunit ribosomal RNA", at positions 524 to 776 of the family's 1533-position model. The record is from RNAcentral.
UACGUAGGGGACGAGCGUUGUCCGGAGUUACUGGGCGUAAAGCGCCCGCAGGCGGUCCGCUCAGUUUGCGCUGACAGCUCCUGGCUUAACUGGGAGAGCGGUGCGAAGACGGGCGGACUGAGAGGACCAGAGAGGGACAUGGAACUCCGGGUGUAGUGGUGAAAUGCGUAGAUAUCCGGAAGAACACCAAAGGCGAAGGCAGUGUCCUGGCUGGUACCUGACGCUGAGGGGCGAAAGCUAGGGGAGCGAACGGG